AUACGUCGGGAGCGACCGUUGUCCGGAUUUACUGGGCGUAAAGGGCGCGUAGGCGGCGCUUCAAGUCGUCUGUCAAAUGGAAGGGCUUAACCCUUUUUCGCAGAUGAAACUGGAGAGCUUGAGAAGCAGAGAGGCAAACAGACUUCCUGGUGUAGCGGUGAAAUGCGUAGAUAUCGGGAAGAAUACCAGUGGCGAAGGCGGUUUGCUGGCUGCAUACUGACGCUGAAGCGCGAAAGCCAGGGGAGCGAACGGGAUUAGAUACCCCGGUAGUCCUGGCAGUAAACGAUGUAUGCUGGGUGUGAGACUAGCGAUAGUUUCGUGCCGAAGUUAACGCGAUAAGCAUACCGCCUGGGGAGUACGGUCGCAAGAUUGAAACUCAAAUGAAUUGACGGGG
This 394-nucleotide ribosomal RNA is filed under the name uncultured bacterium. RNAcentral describes it as "partial 16S ribosomal RNA". It matches the Rfam family "Bacterial small subunit ribosomal RNA", at positions 523 to 918 of the family's 1533-position model. The record is from RNAcentral.